This 37-nucleotide ribosomal RNA is filed under the name uncultured Piloderma. Its description in RNAcentral is "partial 18S ribosomal RNA". Lineage: Eukaryota; Fungi; Basidiomycota; Agaricomycetes; Atheliales; Atheliaceae. The record is from RNAcentral.
AGAGUUCUGCUUCGUAGGUGACCUGCGGAGGUCAUUA